UACGGAGGGUGCUAGCGGUGUUCGGAAUUACUGGGCGUAAAGCGCACGUAGGCGGGUAUAUAAGUCAUUUGUGAAAUCCCUGGGCUUAACCUGGGAAUUGCAGGUGAAACUAUAAACCUUGAAUACCUGAGAGGGUGAUGGAAUUCCUGGUGUAGAAGUGAAAUUCGUAGAUAUCAGGAGGAACACCGGAGGCGAAGGCGGUUGCCUGGCAGAGUAUUGACGCUGAGGUGCGAAAGCGAGGGGAUCAAACAGG
RNAcentral lists this ribosomal RNA (253 nucleotides) under uncultured bacterium. RNAcentral's name for it is "partial 16S ribosomal RNA". It matches the Rfam family "Bacterial small subunit ribosomal RNA", at positions 524 to 776 of the family's 1533-position model. The record is from RNAcentral.